GGCGCAAGAUGGCUAUGGCUUCCACGGGACUCUGAGACAGCACCAACAAAGGGGAGCUUAAGAUGCUUGUGAAAUUUCACAGAUGCACACCAACAAAUAGGACUUGCUCUGCAAUGAACCCAGGGACGUCAUGAAGUGGCACGAGUGAGGCUGCUGGGUAAAUAAGGGGAAUCCCUACCAGAAAACUUCCAAGGCCGUGGAACUAAAAGAAGCUACUGUUAACCCUAGUGGUUAACUUGUGGAGUGGUGAUUGAGGGUUUUCUUUGCCAGAGGAAACUCAGCCAGAAUAGAAUGGAACUAAUUUUAGGGCUGAGCUGCUUCCAGUGUGGAGCCAAGACUUGUCAAGUCUACUCAUGGUGUCUCUCCAGUUUGUCCUAUACUCUCCAUUCUUGCCCUCCUUGCUUAGGACAAUGACCCAUCUCUUCAGUCUUCCCUAGAUAGCUUCCUGUCUCAGUCCUACCUCCCUUCUGUUCCUUCUCACCAAUUACCCUCGAUGGAAUAAACAAAACACACCUAUAAAAA
Molecule: long non-coding RNA, 522 nt
Organism: Felis catus (domestic cat)
Lineage: Eukaryota; Metazoa; Chordata; Mammalia; Carnivora; Felidae
Exons: 2
Source: RefSeq, a predicted model, not a curated record